GACGAACGCUGGCGGCGUGCUUAACACAUGCAAGUCGAACGGAAGGGCCAUGCGUUUGUUGGGUGCUCGAGAGGCGCACGGGUGAGUAACACGUGAGUAACAUGCACUUGACUUUGGGAUAACUUCAGGAAACUGGGGCUAAUACCGGAUAGGAGCUCCUGCUGCAUGGUGGGGGUUGGAAAGAUUCGGCGGUUGGGGAUGGACUCGCGGGUUAUGGGCUGCUUGGUGGAGUAGUGGAUGACAAAGUCUUUGACGGGUAGCCGGCCUGAGAGGGUGACCGGCGACAUUGCGCCUGAGAGACGGAGCAGACUGCUACGUGACGCAGUAGGGGAGAAUAUUGCAGAAUGGGCCGACGCGUGAUGCAGCAACGCCGCGUGCGGGAUGAUGGGCUACGGGUUGUAAACCGCUGUCGCAUUUGACGAAGCGUGAGUGACGGUACUGGGUAAAGAAGCACCGGCUAACUACGUG
RNAcentral lists this ribosomal RNA (468 nucleotides) under uncultured bacterium. Its description in RNAcentral is "partial 16S ribosomal RNA". It matches the Rfam family "Bacterial small subunit ribosomal RNA", at positions 28 to 507 of the family's 1533-position model. The record is from RNAcentral.